Molecule: ribosomal RNA, 253 nt
Filed under: uncultured bacterium
Lineage: Bacteria
Description: partial 16S ribosomal RNA
Rfam family: Bacterial small subunit ribosomal RNA
Source: RNAcentral
UACGGGGGGGGCAAGCGUUGUUCGGAAUUACUGGGCGUAAAGGGCUCGUAGGUGGCCAACUAAGUCAGACGUGAAAUCCCUCGGCUUAACCGGGGAACUGCGUCUGAUACUGGAUGGCUUGAGUUUGGGAGAGGGAUGCGGAAUUCCAGGUGUAGCGGUGAAAUGCGUAGAUAUCUGGAGGAACACCGGUGGCGAAGGCGGCAUCCUGGACCGAAACUGACACUGAGGCGCGAAAGCCAGGGGAGCAAACGGG